This 493-nucleotide ribosomal RNA is filed under the name uncultured bacterium. Its description in RNAcentral is "partial 16S ribosomal RNA". It matches the Rfam family "Bacterial small subunit ribosomal RNA", at positions 27 to 507 of the family's 1533-position model. The record is from RNAcentral.
GAGUGAACGCUGGCGGUAGGCCUAACACAUGCAAGUCGAACGGCAGCACAGUAAGAGCUUGCUCUUACGGGUGGCGAGUGGCGGACGGGUGAGGAAUACAUCGGAAUCUACUUUUUCGUGGGGGAUAACGUAGGGAAACUUACGCUAAUACCGCAUACGACCUACGGGUGAAAGCAGGGGAUCUUCGGACCUUGCGCGAUUGAAUGAGCCGAUGUCGGAUUAGCUAGUUGGCGGGGUAAAGGCACACCAAGGCGACGAUCCGUAGCUGGUCUGAGAGGAUGAUCAGCCACACUGGAACUGAGACACGGUCCAGACUCCUACGGGAGGCAGCAGUGGGGAAUAUUGGACAAUGGGCGCAAGCCUGAUCCAGCCAUACCGCGUGGGUGAAGAAGGCCUUCGGGUUGUAAAGCCCUUUUGUUGGGAAAGAAAAGCAGCAGGUUAAUACCCCGCUGUUCUGACGGUACCCAAAGAAUAAGCACCGGCUAACUUCGUG